Long non-coding RNA from Pyrgilauda ruficollis (rufous-necked snowfinch), 404 nucleotides. RefSeq lists it as uncharacterized. The transcript has 3 exons. The record is from RefSeq and is a predicted model, not a curated record. NCBI's taxonomy places the organism in Eukaryota, Metazoa, Chordata, Aves, Passeriformes, Passeridae.
CUUGCCUGGUGAUCCAGCUGGUGACGGCUCUGAUACCUGAAUCAUGGCUGGUACCAAGCACUCCCAGCUUUCAGGCACCUGUGCAGCUGAGUGGAGAGAAGGGCACAGCCUUCCUCAGGCUGGCAGUGCCUGGUGCAGUUCUGGCCAGAAACAGGGUGACACCUUGCUCGUCAUGUCACUUGCUCUGCUGCCCAUGUAGAGAGGAAAACAUCAGAAGUGCUGUUCACAAGUUGCCUGGAGUCAGGUUACCUCUGGUAACAGUGUAUGCAAGAUAGAGAGACGAGAAACCCAUUCAAGCAUCUCAUGACAUUACCCUUAAAUUAUUGUUCCCGUUUUCAAGAGAAAGAGGAAUGUGUUUAACAUUUCCUUUCAUUUUGUUCUGCUUUUAAGUAUCCUUAACACUG